AUACGUAGGGGGCAAGCGUUAUCCGGAUUUACUGGGUGUAAAGGGAGCGUAGACGGAAGGCCAAGUCUGAUGUGAAAGCCCGCGGCUCAACUGCGGGACUGCAUUGGAAACUGGUCAUCUGGAGUGCAGGAGGGGUAAGCGGAAUUCCUAGUGUAGCGGUGAAAUGCGUAGAUAUUAGGAGGAACACCGGUGGCGAAGGCGGCUUACUGGACUGUAACUGACGUUGAGGCUCGAAAGCGUGGGGAGCAAACAGGAUUAGAUGCCCUGGUAGUCCACGCCGUAAACGAUGAAUACUAGGUGUCGGGUUUCUAUAGAGGUUCGGUGCCGCAGCAAAUGCAAUAAGUAUUCCACCUGGGGAGUACGUUCGCAAGAAUGAAACUCAAAUGAAUUGACGGGG
RNAcentral lists this ribosomal RNA (397 nucleotides) under uncultured bacterium. RNAcentral describes it as "partial 16S ribosomal RNA". It matches the Rfam family "Bacterial small subunit ribosomal RNA", at positions 523 to 918 of the family's 1533-position model. The record is from RNAcentral.